Molecule: microRNA precursor, 123 nt
Filed under: Mus caroli (Ryukyu mouse)
Lineage: Eukaryota; Metazoa; Chordata; Mammalia; Rodentia; Muridae
Description: miRNA (MGP_CAROLIEiJ_G0007011.1)
Source: RNAcentral
UUUCUCUGUAUAGUCCUGGCUGUCCUGGAACUCACUUUGUAAACCAGGCUGGCCUCGAACUCAGAAAUUCACCCGCCUCUGCCUCCCAAGUGCUGGGAUUAAAGGCAUGUGCCACUACUGCCC